This 228-nucleotide ribosomal RNA is filed under the name uncultured bacterium. Its description in RNAcentral is "partial 16S ribosomal RNA". It matches the Rfam family "Bacterial small subunit ribosomal RNA", at positions 97 to 334 of the family's 1533-position model. The record is from RNAcentral.
GGCGGACGGGUGAGUAACACGUGAGAAUUUGCCUUUAGGAGGGGGAUAACAAUUGGAAACGAAUGCUAAUACCCCAUAUGCUUUCGAGUGAAAUGGAUUUAUAUUUAUCCGCCUAGAGAGAAGCUCGCGGCUGAUUAGCUUGUUGGUAAGGUAAGAGCUUACCAAGGCGAAGAUGGGUAGCUGGUCUGAGAGGACGAUCAGCCACACUGGAACUGAGACACGGUCCAG